Molecule: non-coding RNA, 49 nt
Organism: Bradyrhizobium lablabi
Lineage: Bacteria; Pseudomonadati; Pseudomonadota; Alphaproteobacteria; Hyphomicrobiales; Nitrobacteraceae
Source: Rfam
CGGGGACAAAGCAGGCUCCCCGUCAGACGGCCCAUCGUCCAAGCUCUGC